This is a non-coding RNA of Pelobates cultripes (western spadefoot toad), 241 nucleotides long. The record is from the annotation of a GenBank genome assembly. NCBI's taxonomy places the organism in Eukaryota, Metazoa, Chordata, Amphibia, Anura, Pelobatidae.
CGGAAGUAUUGUUUUGAGUCUCGUUGCUAUCAAUUUGGCAUACAAUUUUGUGUCUGCGUUCAGUAGGGAAAUCGGGCGUAGAUUGCCGCAUUGGGUGGGGGGUUUGUUUGGUUUGGGCAGUGUAACAAUGAAGGCUUCCAGCAUUUCUUUGGGCAUUAUCCCUGAGUCUUUUAUGUUAUUGAAGAGUUUAGUAAGAGGGGUGACCAAUUGUGGGGAAAGUUUUAUGUAAUAAUAGUUUGAU